CCUACGGGAGGCAGCAGUGAGGAAUAUUGGUCAAUGGACGAGAGUCUGAACCAGCCAAGUAGCGUGAAGGAUGACUGCCCUAUGGGUUGUAAACUUCUUUUAUAUGGGAAUAAAAUGUUCCACGUGUGGGAUUUUGUAUGUACCAUAUGAAUAAGGAUCGGCUAACUCCGUGCCAGCAGCCGCGGUAAUACGGAGGAUCCGACCGUUAUCCGGAUUUAUUGGGUUUAAAGGGAGCGUAGGUGGAUUGUUAAGUCAGUUGUGAAAGUUUGCGGCUCAACCGUAAAAUUGCAGUUGAAACUGGCAGUCUUGAGUACAGUAGAGGUGGGCGGAAUUCGUGGUGUAGCGGUGAAAUGCUUAGAUAUCACGAAGAACUCCGAUUGCGAAGGCAGUUCACUGGACUGCAACUGACACUGAGGCUCGAAAGUGUGGGUAUCAAACAGGAUUAGAUACCCGAGUAGUC
This 460-nucleotide ribosomal RNA is filed under the name uncultured bacterium. Its description in RNAcentral is "partial 16S ribosomal RNA". It matches the Rfam family "Bacterial small subunit ribosomal RNA", at positions 338 to 795 of the family's 1533-position model. The record is from RNAcentral.